RNAcentral lists this ribosomal RNA (253 nucleotides) under uncultured bacterium. RNAcentral's name for it is "partial 16S ribosomal RNA". It matches the Rfam family "Bacterial small subunit ribosomal RNA", at positions 524 to 776 of the family's 1533-position model. The record is from RNAcentral.
UACGUAGGGGGCUAGCGUUGUCCGGAUUUAUUGGGCGUAAAGAGCGUGUAGGCGGCCAGCUAGGUCUGCUGUGAAAACUCGAGGCUCAACCUCGAGAUGUCGGCGGAAACCAUCUGGCUAGAGUCCGGAAGAGGAAAGUGGAAUUCCUGGUGUAGCGGUGAAAUGCGCAGAUAUCAGGAAGAACACCCGUGGCGAAGGCGGCAUUCUGGGACGGUACUGACGCUGAGGCGCGAAAGCUAGGGGAGCAAACGGG